RNAcentral lists this ribosomal RNA (497 nucleotides) under uncultured bacterium. RNAcentral's name for it is "partial 16S ribosomal RNA". It matches the Rfam family "Bacterial small subunit ribosomal RNA", at positions 28 to 507 of the family's 1533-position model. The record is from RNAcentral.
GACGAACGCUGGCGGCGUGCCUAAUACAUGCAAGUUGAGCGCACAAGGUUGGUGCUUGUUCCUCCUAGGUGAGCAGCGGACGGGUGAGUAACGCGUGGAUAAUCUGCCUUUGAGCCGGGGACAACUUCUGGAAACGAAUGCUAAUACCGCAUAAUAUCUUUAAACACAUGUUUCAAGAUUGAAAGAUGCAAUUGCUGUACCCAAUGGUUAUCCCGCGUUGUCUUAGCUAAUUGGUGAGGUAAAGGCUUUCCAAAGCGAAGAUACAUAACCGACCUUAGCAGGUGAUUCGCCAACUUUGGAAUGAGACCAGGCCCAAACUCCUACGGGAGGCAGCAGUAGGGAAUCUUCGGCAAUGGACGAAAGUCUGACCGGGCAACGCCGCGUGAGUGAAGAAGGUUCUCGGAUCGUAAAACUCUGUUUGUAGAGAAGAACGUUGGUGAGAGUGGAAAGCGCAUCAAGUGACGGUAACUACCCAGAAAGGGACGGCUAACUACGUG